GAUGAACGCUGGCGGCGUGCCUAAUACAUGCGAGUCGAGCGAACAGACGAGGAGCUUGCUCCUCUGACGUUAGCGGCGGACGGGUGAGUAACACGUGGAUAACCUACCUAUAAGACUGGGAUAACUUCGGGAAACCGGAGCUAAUACCGGAUAAUAUAUUGAACCGCAUGGUUCAAUAGUGAAAGACGGUUUUGCUGUCACUUACAGAUGGAUCCGCGCCGCAUUAGCUAGUUGGUAAGGUAACGGCUUACCAAGGCAACGAUGCGUAGCCGACCUGAGAGGGUGAUCGGCCACACUGGAACUGAGACACGGUCCAGACUCCUACGGGAGGCAGCAGUAGGGAAUCUUCCGCAAUGGGCGAAAGCCUGACGGAGCAACGCCGCGUGAGUGAUGAAGGUCUUCGGAUCGUAAAACUCUGUUAUUAGGGAAGAACAAAUGUGUAAGUAACUAUGCACGUCUUGACGGUACCUAAUCAGAAAGCCACGGCUAACUACGUG
This 497-nucleotide ribosomal RNA is filed under the name uncultured bacterium. Its description in RNAcentral is "partial 16S ribosomal RNA". It matches the Rfam family "Bacterial small subunit ribosomal RNA", at positions 28 to 507 of the family's 1533-position model. The record is from RNAcentral.